AGCGAACGCUGGCGGCAGGCUUAACACAUGCAAGUCGAACGGCAGCACAGUAAGUGUUUGCUCUUACGGGUGGCGAGUGGCGGACGGGUGAGGAAUAUAACGGAAUCUACUCUUUCGUGGGGGUUAACGUAGCGAAACUUACUCCAAUAUCGCAUAUCAUGUACGGGUGUAAGCAGGGGAUCUUUUGACCUUGCGCGAUUGAACGAGCCGAUGUUGGAUUUGUUAGUUGGCGGGGUAAAGGCCCACCAAGGCGCCGAUCCGUAGCUGGUCUGAGAGGAUGAUAGGCCGCACUGGAGCUGGAACGCGGUCCAGGCGCCUACGGGAGGCAGCAGUCGGGAAUGUUAGACAGUGGGCGGAAGCCUGGUCCAGCCGUACCGCGUGGGUGGAGGAGACGUUCGGGUUGUAAAGCCCGUUUGUUGGGAGAGAAAAGCUGCAGGUUGAGACCCCGCUGUUCUGACGGUACCCGAAGAAUAAGCACCGGCUAACUACGUG
RNAcentral lists this ribosomal RNA (492 nucleotides) under uncultured bacterium. RNAcentral's name for it is "partial 16S ribosomal RNA". It matches the Rfam family "Bacterial small subunit ribosomal RNA", at positions 29 to 507 of the family's 1533-position model. The record is from RNAcentral.